AGUGGCGGACGGGUGAGUAACGCGUGGGUAACCUGCCUCAUACAGGGGGAUAACAGUUGGAAACGGCUGCUAAUACCGCAUAAGCGCACAGUACCGCAUGGUACCGUGUGAAAAACUCCGGUGGUAUGAGAUGGACCCGCGUCUGAUUAGCUAGUUGGUGGGGUAACGGCCUACCAAGCCGACGAUCAGUAGCCGACCUGAGAGGGUGACCGGCCACAUUGGGACUGAGACACGGCCCAA
This 240-nucleotide ribosomal RNA is filed under the name uncultured bacterium. Its description in RNAcentral is "partial 16S ribosomal RNA". It matches the Rfam family "Bacterial small subunit ribosomal RNA", at positions 94 to 334 of the family's 1533-position model. The record is from RNAcentral.